ACUUGGGGGUGGGUGGGCUGCCCGGCCCUGCCUCUUGUACUCAGUUCUCCACUCUGGCCGCCCCGGGACGUGUCCUCAGGACCAGGUGGGUCUCAGCUGGAUGCUCGAUCCCAGCUGGACCCCGAGGACAGACACCAAGCAAGUGCCAGGCUGGCCCUCUGGGAUGAAGCAGAAAGCCAAGCCAUGGGUUCCCCAAGAAGGACAGCCCCCGGAUCUGACAACCUGUGCCCAAAGGUGGCCGCAGCUGACUUUACAAUCUCUGUCAAGAUUUUCUGGUCCUGUUUCCAGUCUUACCAAGUGCCUACCCGCCCGGCCGGAAAGUGGCUAGUGACUGUGUGUGAAUGUGACAACUUGAACAGCAAGUGCCUGCAUUCGUCCCAGUGGGCCCAGGUCCAGCAGAUUCUAGGGGCUGUGAGGCCCAGCAACCUGGACCCAGGCCAAGAAGUCAAGAACUGCUGAAGUCCAGGCCUCCACGCUUGUACUGACACAGGCGACCACCCAGCCCCACCAACCCAUAUGGCUCUGUUUUCCUGAUGUAUGAGGUGGGUAGAGUGCUUUCCCCCUAAAAGAGGACUCCAAGGGAUUAAUUAGUUAAAAUCUGUAAACAUGUAUCAUUAUAAUUAGUAUUCCAGUUUCUAGUUAAAACCAAACUGGCCAAAAGGAAAGAAAAUAUCAGCCCUACCUCUGAGGGCAGCUACCUUUGCUUUUCUGGUAUUUCCAGUCUGACCGGUGGGAAAAUGUCCUGGGAAGUUCAGUGUUUGCUGGGUCUGAGCCUGUAGCUGUGUUCACCACGUUUGAGGAUGAGGAGGCCAAGAAUCCAAUUGUGCCCCGGACCCACCUGGGCUCUGCUUGUUCAGACCAUUGGCUCUAGCAAAGGUUGGACAUCCCUCAUUUGACCCAGAUGCAAUAUGUCUACUGUAGGGCCCUGUGUCUUCAUGUUCUUUGGGGAUAGACAGGUUGUAUAGGCCAUUGUAAAGAGAUUUUUGGUUUCUGAGGUGUUAAUCUAAAAGCAGUGUCUCUGGGGUAGUGCCUACUGCUUUCCUCAAGAGAGGAAACUCGGGACCACCGAAGUUGU
RNAcentral lists this long non-coding RNA (1075 nucleotides) under Bos indicus x Bos taurus (hybrid cattle). RNAcentral's name for it is "lncRNA (ENSBIXG00000027897.1)". Lineage: Eukaryota; Metazoa; Chordata; Mammalia; Artiodactyla; Bovidae. The record is from RNAcentral.